CUUCAUCGAUUUGUUGUGGACAGAUAUAAUGAAUGUGCGAGUCAAUUCCUCCUGCGGUGAUAAUUGCCCCUUCUCCUGCUACUACAUCGGUGCUCGCUCCUACAAUCAUAUCAGGGUGAACACCAGGCAUAAUAUGCGGAUUUCCUGCUUUACCGAUGGCAUGUAUUUUACCAUCUUUUAUACCAAUAUCUGCUUUGAUAAUACCUGUAUAAUCGACAAUCAGUGCAUUGGUAAUCACCAUAUCCAAUACAUCUUUUCGGCGUAAGCCUGAAGCUUGUCCCAUGCCGUCUCUUAA
This 295-nucleotide small RNA is filed under the name Flammeovirga sp. SJP92. RNAcentral describes it as "5' ureB small RNA". It matches the Rfam family "5' ureB small RNA". Lineage: Bacteria; Pseudomonadati; Bacteroidota; Cytophagia; Cytophagales; Flammeovirgaceae. The record is from Rfam by way of RNAcentral.